This 253-nucleotide ribosomal RNA is filed under the name uncultured bacterium. Its description in RNAcentral is "partial 16S ribosomal RNA". It matches the Rfam family "Bacterial small subunit ribosomal RNA", at positions 524 to 776 of the family's 1533-position model. The record is from RNAcentral.
UACGUAGGGGGCAAGCGUUGUCCGGAAUUAUUGGGCGUAAAGAGCUCGUAGGCGGUCUGUCGCGUCUGCUGUGAAAACUCAGGGCUUAACCCUGAGCUUGCAGUGGGUACGGGCAGACUAGAGUGCGGUAGGGGAGACUGGAAUUCCUGGUGUAGCGGUGAAAUGCGCAGAUAUCAGGAGGAACACCGGUGGCGAAGGCGGGUCUCUGGGCCGUAACUGACGCUGAGGAGCGAAAGCAUGGGGAGCAAACAGG